AUCGAGCGAGGACGCAGACAGGAAUGAUGACUCAGGACGAGGGUCAGGAACGCCAGGAGGCGAAGACACAGGAAGGUCAGGAAGACAAACGUCAGGAGACGUUAGAAAAGGGAAAUGGAAAUAACACGGAAGUUCCAGGCUAAGGGAAAAACAGGGCGUGUUGAUAGCCAACAGGGAUUGUAAGGCCCGCUGAGGGUUUUGAGUCAAGAAAAAAGGCGACAGAGCAAUCUGUCGCCUUUUUUCUU
RNAcentral lists this small RNA (245 nucleotides) under Escherichia fergusonii ATCC 35469. Lineage: Bacteria; Pseudomonadati; Pseudomonadota; Gammaproteobacteria; Enterobacterales; Enterobacteriaceae. The record is from RNAcentral.